Molecule: long non-coding RNA, 2032 nt
Organism: Gossypium arboreum
Lineage: Eukaryota; Viridiplantae; Streptophyta; Magnoliopsida; Malvales; Malvaceae
Exons: 3
Source: RefSeq, a predicted model, not a curated record
AAAAUACGAAAAAGAAAGGAAAAGGGCUGGCGCGUGCGGCAUGAGACGAAACGAGGCAAAUAGGAUCAACGAACUUUGAAUCAGGGUGCCAAGUGAAAAAAUUGUAGAAAACAAAAUCUAUCCACACUUUCUCGCUCAUAUUUGCUGGAUUAAAUCUCGUCCAAAAGCAAAUUUGAAUCCCCUCAUCUGAGAAAAGAAGUGAAAAAAAUGGAGAGCGUAGUUGUCUCUCAAUUUCUCAUUCUUCUCAUCGCCUCUCAUCUUCGCUUUACUUCGUCUUUAAAUCGGUGAAAACUAAAUUUUAUUUCCAUUUUAUUUUUGGGGUUCGCUUUUGUAUUAAACCAGGUCUUUUGGUGGAUUUCGAGGUAAAUACUUUAAAAAUCUGAAUUAAUCCGUCAUAAUCGUGCUAUAGACUGAGACAAUGGCGCUUCAGGUUCUCCUGACUUUCUCUGCUAUGUACUCGACAUCAAACACGUUAAGUGAUAACGAACAAUAUGGUAUCAUGGUAUCAACAAUGUAGCUACUUCUUUUGAAGUGUAUGGAAUAAAAUUUGGCCUGUUUUUUUUAGUAACAUUCAUCGCUUUAGAUGUUGCUGUGAGCACCGAUGAUAUGUACUUUUGUCCUUGAGUAGUGAACUUUCCUAGAUUUUCAUGGUGAAAUAGAUAAUGUGCCAUAUUUUACUUUUAACUUCUCCAUAUACUUGGUAUUCUUUUGAUAGGUCUUGAGAACGUCUCAAGAUCAGGUUCCGUAGCAGGUUCUGGAUGCCAAGUCAUAGAUUCAUGAAAUGGACAAUUGAAAGCCUUCAAUAUUCUGGGUUUCAAUGAGAACAGAAUAAAAUGAACUAGUUUAAGCUAGUGCGCGUCUUUGUUAUUUUGACACUUACAAGGACCCUUCACUGUUACGGCUCUAUCUUUACAGAACUCGUACGAUUCUUUUUCAUUAUGGAUUUCCUGCGGUAUGUUUGAAAUAUUAUCUACAUGCAGGUUUCGCAUUGAUAUUUUUUAUCUCACAAUCAACCAUUAUGUUGGGGUGCUUUUUAAAGCUAGAUUCAUCUUGGUUCUGGAUGACUCUCGAGUUAUUUUCAAUUGAUUCAUUUUUUCCUUUACGUGUAGAUUGCACUCAAAGGUUUGCUGCAACUUUUGGUCCUUCAUGGUAUUGUAUGAGUCAUUUAGCUGGAUAUUUGAAGUUCUGGUCGCUGAGAAAUAAAUCAAUAACUGCAUUUGGCCUAGGCUUCUGUCCUGGCGCAGUCACAUGUUUUGAGCUCAUGUGGAAUUGAUGCGCUACCAAGCUCUACCACACCAAUUGGUUGGCUAAGCAGAAUGAUUCAGUUUAAAGAGAAAUCUCGCAAGCUGCGUUAACAGGAGAAGAAUUUGGCUGGCAUCUGAUAAACUUCUUUAGAAAUCAUCAUUGAGCAUCACCCCAUAUGCUUAGGUGCUGACAACGUUUUCCUCUUGUUCCUCUGUAAUGGUUCUGCAGAGAUGAAAAUGUUGGAGUUGCUUUAUUGACCUAUCCUGUUCUGAUGCCUUCUGAUAUUCUUUAGUAAUAGGUGGUUCUGGGAACACGAGUAUCAUCUUUUAUUUGAGCAUGUCUAACAACUUUGAUAGUUUGAAUAUCUUAUUUGGAAAAUGCUGAUGAUAUUUUGAUAAAGUGAUUUGAAGAUGCAUGAUUCAUACACAAUUGCGGCAUGCAUCUGCAGUCUGUUUUUGUCCCAGUUGGUGCAGAUCAGAAGCAGCAGUUGGAGUUGACUCAUCAGUUGGCUGAUCGUGUUAACUAUUUAUGUGAUGGAAGAAAGUGGAAAAAGCUGGGAUGGUUGUAGCAAACGAGAUGAAGUGUUGCAAGACCGACACAUUUCUGGUGUUAAUUCCUAGGCUAUGUUUUCCUUCUAUUUCCAUUUCUAUUUUCUUGUCUACUUAUUUCUCUAUAUGACAACAGAAUCUAAUGUGAAGUUCUCCCAUAUAUAGUCUUGUUUGUGGCAAUUCUUGUAGCCUGGAAUUGACAAUCCUGAACAUCCUGAAUGCAACAAUCUUUCUUUCAA